GCGGAAGUGGCGGAAUUGGUAGACGCGCACGUUUGAGGGGCGUGUGGGGAAACCCGUGAGGGUUCGAGUCCCUCCUUCCGCA
RNAcentral lists this transfer RNA (82 nucleotides) under Pseudomonadota bacterium. Its description in RNAcentral is "tRNA-Leu". It matches the Rfam family "tRNA". Rfam says of the family: Transfer RNA (tRNA) molecules are approximately 80 nucleotides in length. Lineage: Bacteria; Pseudomonadati; Pseudomonadota. RNAcentral also lists the same sequence under 2 other names. The record is from RNAcentral.